Molecule: long non-coding RNA, 461 nt
Organism: Orcinus orca (killer whale)
Lineage: Eukaryota; Metazoa; Chordata; Mammalia; Artiodactyla; Delphinidae
Exons: 3
Source: RefSeq, a predicted model, not a curated record
AGCUAUUUGUCUAGUGUCACCUCCUUCAUCAACAAAUGUUGAGAAACACCUCACACUAGUCCAGUCUCACUGCUAGGCAUUCAAGUGAACAAAGGUGAAUAAGCCUCAAGGAGUUCAUCAGAGUGUCAGCAGGCAGAGAAAAAUGAGAAGCAAGGUCACCAGCUGAUAAUGAGAAGGAGGAAGGCAUUUCGUAUUUUAAAGAGUGAAGAAAAGUCUGUAAAAAAAAUAAAAGAAGAGAAGGGAAAACAGACACAGACACACAGAGAAGAGGCUAUGUGAAGACAGGCAGAGACUGGAGUGAUGCAGCUACAAGUCAACGAACACCAAGUGUUGCCAGCAGCCACCUGAAGUUAGGAGAAAGUCAUGGAACGGAUUUUCUGACAGAGUCUCCAGAAGGAACCAACCAAACACUUUGAUAUUCUAGCCUUCAGAAUUGUGAGAAAAUAAAGUUCUGUUGUCUU